This 497-nucleotide ribosomal RNA is filed under the name uncultured bacterium. RNAcentral's name for it is "partial 16S ribosomal RNA". It matches the Rfam family "Bacterial small subunit ribosomal RNA", at positions 28 to 507 of the family's 1533-position model. The record is from RNAcentral.
GAUGAACGCUGGCGGCGUGCCUAAUACAUGCAAGUCGAGCGAACGGACGAGAAGCUUGCUUUUCUGAUGUUAGCGGCGGACGGGUGAGUAACACGUGGAUAACCUACCUAUAAGACUGGGAUAACUUCGGGAAACCGGAGCUAAUACCGGAUAAUAUUUUGAACCGCAUGGUUCAAAAGUGAAAGACGGUCUUGCUGUCACUUAUAGAUGGAUCCGCGCUGCAUUAGCUAGUUGGUAAGGUAGCGGCUUACCAAGGCAACGAUGCAUAGCCGACCUGAGAGGGUGAUCGGCCACACUGGAACUGAGACACGGUCCAGACUCCUACGGGAGGCAGCAGUAGGGAAUCUUCCGCAAUGGGCGAAAGCCUGACGGAGCAACGCCGCGUGAGUGAUGAAGGUCUUCGGAUCGUAAAACUCUGUUAUUAGGGAAGAACAUAUGUGUAAGUAACUGUGCACAUCUUGACGGUACCUAAUCAGAAAGCCACGGCUAACUACGUG